GACUUCGCGUGCUGAACACUCCCCC
This 25-nucleotide non-coding RNA is filed under the name Rattus norvegicus (Norway rat). Lineage: Eukaryota; Metazoa; Chordata; Mammalia; Rodentia; Muridae. The record is from RNAcentral.